RNAcentral lists this non-coding RNA (40 nucleotides) under Trypanosoma brucei brucei. Lineage: Eukaryota; Euglenozoa; Kinetoplastea; Trypanosomatida; Trypanosomatidae. The record is from RNAcentral.
AAAUAACAGACAUAAGAACGAAUCACGAAUAGAUAAUGAU